Molecule: long non-coding RNA, 329 nt
Filed under: Zea mays
Lineage: Eukaryota; Viridiplantae; Streptophyta; Magnoliopsida; Poales; Poaceae
Description: long non-coding RNA (ZMAY_LNC002656)
Source: RNAcentral
AAAGCAUCGGGUAUUUUUUGUUACUGCUUUCGAUUGCAAAUUUGUUUCAAGAUCCAUUUUUUAUUUUUUAAUGAUUUAUCAGGCUUAAAUCAAUAGUUCUUUUUAUCAUCUAUUUGGUGCAGAUUGACAUGGCGUGAGUGAAAUAAUUUAUUUCUUGAGCUAGAUCUGCUACUGCCUUACUGGACUAGGUGUAAAUUAUCACACCAAGUUGUUUUAGUUACUCCACAAAACCAACUGAUUUCCCUGCCAAACCAGAGGGUUCUGAUCUAAUUCCUUCCUAACCAGUUGUAUUCUCAGUGCUAUGACCAUGUCUAUAAAUCUAAUUUAUC